AAGGGACAUACCUAUAGGGGGAUUUUGGAGACAUCAAAUGUCUCAUUUCGGUGUUCUUCUUACAUUCAUUUAUCAAAUAACUUCGAAAGGAUGCCAGCUUUCUGUGUAGAUACUAGCAAAAGAGACGUCUCUGCAACAGGUCCAGGCUGAUGUGCAAGCCACUUGGGCCCUAGGACCUAGCAGAUCUUAUGGUGCUUGAAGAGUCCAUGGGCAAUGGGAUGAUGUUAAGGGCCCAUAGCAUGCAUUUAUAGGUAAAUAACUGUGGAGACUCUUAUCAUUUUGCAAUAAGGCUAUACCAUCUUCUGCAGAUAUCAAUUCUUGUUUUAAGAAAUAGUUUCUGGCCUGUUACUGGGAACUAGUAAAGAUUAAAUGCUAGACCAUUAGUCAUCAAUUUUCUGUGCCACCUGAAGUACCCAACAUGAACUAGGUGUUGUCUUACUAAACCAUGAAGUUGGGUAUGCACAGCAACAUCCCUUCAUCAAAUGGAAAUGGUUAAUAUAAGAUCCAGCCUGCACAGGUCAUGAAGGCACAGGUGUGGCCUCUUUGAGAGUUCCCUUUGAUCAUCGUUGAACAAGAAAAUAUUUGGGUCUGGUUUACCAAAGGACCUACAAGAUUUUCUGGCACCACCAUUCCCUGGAGGGGUCAGCCAGCUACAUGUUGGCAGGAUGAUGGCACUGGACCAUUUCCAUCGUGGAAGGGGCAGCAUUUUGUCCUCACUGGAACAGACACUUGGUUAGAAUAUGAAUAUGCUUUCGCUGUACAUAUUUGUUCUGCUAAAACCACCAAUUGUGUAUGCCUUAUUCACUGUUAUGAUAUUCCACGUAGCAUUACUUCUGACCAAGGAACUCAUCUCACAGCUAAUGAAGUGUGGAUAAGGAAGGGACUUUUGAAGAUUUUGUUAUGUUCCCAAGUGGGGGACAUCAUAUUAUAGGGCUGGGGUAGUGUCCUAUGGAUGUAGUACAUAUCCCAAAUCAGCAACCAAAGUAUAGUGCUGUUUCUCCCAUAACAUGAUCAAGGAAUGGGAAUGAGAUCAGCUGCUCUUAGUUUACCCUUUGUGAUCCACUAACAGUAUUUUUGCUUCUAGUCCUGGUGACUUUGGGCUCUGCUGCUUUAGGGCAUUUUACUUUUCCAGAAGAAUAAUGCUUCUGCCAGGAAACACAGUAACACUCCUGUUAAAUUGGAAGUUGAGACUGCUCCCUGAG
Molecule: long non-coding RNA, 1202 nt
Filed under: Pan troglodytes (chimpanzee)
Lineage: Eukaryota; Metazoa; Chordata; Mammalia; Primates; Hominidae
Description: long non-coding RNA NONPTRT012749
Source: RNAcentral